GGUGGAAUCUUAGGUUGUUUUGAUUUGCAUUUCCCUGAUGACUAAGGAUGUCUUUUUGCAUGAGAAGAGGGUUUAGUGAAGAUUAUCUAUAUAUAUAUUCACAUUGUCCAGUUUUUGGUUUCUGUAUUACUUCUCAUCUCCUAUAGAAGGAAGUUUCUCUGAUGAUGCCCAAGCAAGACUCUGCUCUAUAAGAUGUCAUUAGGAGUGAUUUUAUUGCUAUAUUUAGCAGAACAAUAGUAUUUAUUUUCUCUCUUAUGGCCUACCCAGUCAGGUUUUUAGCCACCCCAGCAGUGCCAGCUAUAAGUUCUAUCUCAUAGAGUUGGCCUUAAAUCCAAUCAGAUAUUCGUUGGUUACUCCAAUAGGCUUUGAAUCACUAUCGUACUAGUGUAUCUUACAGUCAGGUCACCAUUGUAAAUCAAAGAGUUUGUAGCUCCUUUGAUAGCAGCUCCAUGAACAAUCAGUUAGUAGGGAUGAAGGCUCUAGUUAGACAGCAGCAUCAGUUCUCUGUGUUCACUGAGAUGUGUAGAUGGUCUCCUUAACAGCAGGGCCUCCCAUCAGUUUGUAUAGAGCAACCAUUAGUCUUGGCAGUCACCUGAGUUGAUUGGGGGUUUCCAUGUGGGCUCAUUUAACCUACAACUCAAUUAGAUGUAACCCAUUUCUGGCACUGGAAGAUUUACUUGAUGGUAACUGGGGAUUUCUUCCCCCUGUUAUUUGAUGAUUCCAUUUAUAUUUAUUUCAUAUAUGGAUAUAUUUCAAGCAACUUCCACUGUAGUAGGUUUCUAUAUUAUCCCUCAAAUGACCCUCAUUUUAAGUUGUCACUCUCCCUAUUUCUCCAUACCCCCUCUCCCUCUGUCUCUCAAUUUUAUCCUCCUGUUCCAGUCUCUCCCCCUCCAUUGAGAUCCUUCCCUUCUCCCUAAUCCCUUACUCUUUACCCAGCCUAUGUGGUUACAUGGAUUAUAGCAUACUUAAGGAAAAUAUAGAAGUUGACAUCCAUAUGUUUGUGUUUGGAAUAUCUUACUCAUGACUUUUUUUUUCUAGCUCCAUCCAAAUACUUUUAAAGUUUAUUGUUUUGUUUCUUUUAACAGCCAAGUAAUAUUCCAUUUUGUAAAUGUACUCCACUUUUUCAUUGAUGCACAUGUAGGCUAUUUGAAAUUUUUGGCUAUUAUAAAUAAAGCAGCAGUGAACAUAUUUGGACAGGUGUCUCUGUGGUACAAUAUAGAGUCAUUUGGGUAUGUGCCCAAGAGUCCAACAGACUCUAAAAGAAUCAUUUCUUAAAAUUCAUAACUGUAAACUAUAAUUACUCCUUACAUUCCUUGUCUAUGUCCUGUUUGCAUUAGAACUUUCUGCUCAUGUUUUGUUUUGUUUUGUUUUCUCCUAUUUCCUUUCCCUAGUAGGUCAUUUUUGUCUCUAUCAUAGCACCAUAAUAAAAUUACAACUAUUAAACUCUAAUAGAUAAGUCAUUUGUGGAGAAACUAAUGAUCUGAAAUUUUCAACCUUAAUUUAUUUGUAUGCUGUGAAAAUUAUAAUACAAGCUAUUCAAGAAACUAGGAAUAGACAUACUUAUGACCCAGGCUAUAUACCAGAAAGACUUCAGAUGAGUACCACAGACAGACCUUUACCUCUGUAUUUAAUACUGCAUAAUUCUUGAUAGUCAGAAAUGGUCCCAGCCUAGAUGUCCACAGAUGAAUAGAAAAAGAAGAUAGAUAGUCAGACAGACAGACAGGCAGACAGAUGAAUUCUAAUCAGCUAGGAAAAAAAAUGCAAUGACAUUUACAAGGAAAUGGGUAGAACUAGGAAUAUUAAGUGAAAUAAGCAGAUUCAGCAAAAUACCAUGUUAGAACAUAAAAUUACAUAUGUGUGUGUUUGCAUAUAUAUGUGUGUAGAUCAUAAAACUAGAAAGGUGAUUAUGAGGGGGAUGGAAAGAAUGAAGAAAUGAUGGCAAAGACUGUCUUAGGGACAGGAACCAGCCCUGGGGAGACGGGGCGCCAUGGGGAAGACCAGCCCUGGGGAGACGGGGCGCCAUGGGGAAGAACAGCGCCAGGGAAUGAUGGUCGCCGAGUUACAAUGAUAUGUAUGCAUGAAUUUCCCUACUGCCUGUUAACUUUGUGUGCUCACCUAAGGAGUAAACUUAAAAGUUUCAAAAAUAUUCAAAUACUGAUUGUAACUAAAGGAUGAAUUUUGUGACAGUCCAAAAUUUUUGAGAUGACUAUGAUAUAUGACUUUAUAAAUAUAAACUUUAAGUUAAUACAUAACAGAAAAUUACAAAGUAGUCUGAUUAUCAAAACACGAGGAAGGAAGAUAAGUUUUACCUAAGCACUUGACUUUGUCGCUCUUGCUUCUACUAUUCGAUGUGAUAGCAUCAUCCCAGUAUUAUCUGUUUGUUUCACAUCUACCUCCC
Molecule: long non-coding RNA, 2398 nt
Filed under: Mus musculus (house mouse)
Lineage: Eukaryota; Metazoa; Chordata; Mammalia; Rodentia; Muridae
Description: long non-coding RNA chr3:67207524-67209922
Source: RNAcentral